GGGGGGGGGGGAGAGGGAGUCGGACGUGGAGGCCCUUCUGCAGCCCCGGAGGAAAAGAGGCGCUUUGCAACAGAUGGUUCAAGGUCAGUAUCUACCAGGUAGCUGCUCUGAGAAUAAAAAUGGCAUGAUGAGGUGGAUAAUGCAUGUUUUCCUCCCAAACCCUUGAUCAUAUUGGUUGCCC
Molecule: long non-coding RNA, 181 nt
Organism: Lacerta agilis (Sand lizard)
Lineage: Eukaryota; Metazoa; Chordata; Lepidosauria; Squamata; Lacertidae
Exons: 3
Source: RefSeq, a predicted model, not a curated record